RNAcentral lists this ribosomal RNA (492 nucleotides) under uncultured bacterium. RNAcentral's name for it is "partial 16S ribosomal RNA". It matches the Rfam family "Bacterial small subunit ribosomal RNA", at positions 29 to 507 of the family's 1533-position model. The record is from RNAcentral.
AGUGAACGCUGGCGGUAGGCCUAACACAUGCAAGUCGAACGGCAGCACAGUAAGAGCUUGCUCUUACGGGUGGCGAGUGGCGGACGGGUGAGGAAUACAUCGGAAUCUACUUUUUCGUGGGGGAUAACGUAGGGAAACUUACGCUAAUACCGCAUACGACCUACGGGUGAAAGCAGGGGAUCUUCGGACCUUGCGCGAUUGAAUGAGCCGAUGUCGGAUUAGCUAGUUGGCGGGGUAAAGGCCCACCAAGGCGACGAUCCGUAGCUGGUCUGAGAGGAUGAUCAGCCACACUGGAACUGGGACACGGUCCAGACUCCUACGGGAGGCAGCAGUGGGGAAUAUUGGACAAUGGGCGCAAGCCUGAUACAGCCAUACCGCGUGGGUGAAGAAGGCCUUCGGGUUGUAAAGCCCUUUUGUUGGGAAAGAAAAGCAGCAGGUUAAUACCCCGCUGUUCUGACGGUACCCAAAGAAUAAGCACCGGCUAACUUCGUG